This 128-nucleotide non-coding RNA is filed under the name Gallaecimonas xiamenensis 3-C-1. Its description in RNAcentral is "Gallaecimonas sp. 3-C-1 Ruegeria cis8 sRNA". It matches the Rfam family "Ruegeria cis8 sRNA". Rfam says of the family: Cis-encoded. Targets hypothetical protein. Higher sRNA expression during C-limited growth. The record is from Rfam by way of RNAcentral. Lineage: Bacteria; Pseudomonadati; Pseudomonadota; Gammaproteobacteria; Enterobacterales; Gallaecimonadaceae.
AGAGCCAGGGUCUUGGCGAUGUAGGGGAUCAUCGGCAGAUUGAGGAUCAGCAGCACCACGUUGCCGAUGUACAUGGACAUGAUCACCGACCAGAACACAUCGGGAUUUUCUUCCAUCAGCAGCGGCCC